Molecule: ribosomal RNA, 818 nt
Filed under: uncultured archaeon
Lineage: Archaea
Description: bacterial SSU rRNA
Rfam family: Archaeal small subunit ribosomal RNA
Source: RNAcentral
GACAACCUGCCCUUAGGACGGGGAUAAACCCGGGAAACUGGGUAUAAUACCCGAUAGGUCUCGAUUGCUGGAAUGCAUCGAGAUUUAAAGCUCCGGCGCCUAAGGAUGGGUCUGCGGCCUAUCAGGUAGUAGUGGGUGUAGCGUACCUACUAGCCUACGACGGGUACGGGUUGUGAGAGCAAGAGCCCGGAGAUGGAUUCUGAGACACGAAUCCAGGCCCUACGGGGUGCAGCAGGCGCGAAAACUUUACAAUGCUGGCAACAGCGAUAAGGGAACCUCGAGUGCCAGGUUACAAAUCUGGCUGUCGAGAUGCCUAAAAAGCAUUUCAUAGCAAGGGCCGGGCAAGACCGGUGCCAGCCGCCGCGGUAACACCGGCGGCUCGAGUGGUAACCGUUAUUAUUGGGUCUAAAGGGUCUGUAGCCGGCCGGAUAAGUCUCUUGAGAAAUCUGGCAGCUUAACUGUCAGGCUUUCAGGAGAUACUGUCUGGCUCGAGGCCGGGAGAGGUGAGAGGUACUUCAGGGGUAGGGGUGAAAUCUUGUAAUCCUUGAAGGACCACCAGUGGCGAAGGCGUCUCACCAGAACGGACCUGACGGCAAGGGACGAAAGCUAGGGGCACGAACCGGAUUAGAUACCCGGGUAGUCCUAGCCGUAAACGAUACUCGCUAGGUGUCGGCCACGGUGCGACCGUUGUCGGUGCCGUAGGGAAGCCGUGAAGCGAGCCACCUGGGAAGUACGGCCGCAAGGCUGAAACUUAAAGGAAUUGGCGGGGGAGCACCACAACGGGUGGAGCUUGCGGUUUAAUUGGAUUCAACGCCGGG